AAUUCCAACAGGAAAGCGCCUGAAAGCCACUGACUCCGCGUAGCCGGCGGAGGACCACUGUGACGAACUUGUGUCCUGCGUCAACAGUGUGUGGAACGUUGGCGACCUCGGCGCUCGAGCUGCACUCCGCUGGGCUCUUGGCAGCACCCUGUGCUCUGAGGGUGUCUUGCCCGCCGGGCGCCGUGGCUCACGCCUGUAAUCCCAACACUUUGGGAGGCUGAGGCGGGCGGAUCACUUGAGGUCAAGAGUUCAAGACCAGCCUGGCCAACAUGAUUCUACUCUAAAAGUCACCAGGAAAAAUUCAGCUCCACUGGUCCUGGCUCUAAGUCUACUAGCAAAAUCUUCCAGAGAAGUGGAAAAGCCAUCAGCCAAUGUGUUAGACUAUCAUUUCCAUGACCUUACACCUAUCAAAAAGGCACUAUUACCAGGCUUAUAGAAUUCUAAAAAAGUUGGAAACCAUUUUCCAUUAUAAAAGAAAUUCUUCCAAAUCACACAAAACACUCUGACACUUCUCCAAUUCCCCCUAUCAUGGGGCUGGCAGCAGCCGCUUUGCGUCCUGAAUGUCAUGACAGUGAUGAUAACAGUAAUGAUGAUAACAGCAAUGAUGAAGUCUCACAUUUAAAAUUUUCAAGUCACUCAUCACAUCCCAAGUCACUCCCUUCAUUACCUUUUAUUUAUACUGGAGUCAUCCUGUGUGCCUCAGUCAGACCAUUUUGUAUGUACAAUGACCGUAAGUAGAUCAACCAAACUUUUUGGAUGAUGUCAACUAUUUAAGGCUUUUUAAAAAUAUAAGGUACUUGAGAAUUCAUUUUUUCCCCAGCUGGUGUAAGAGAUAAACAAUUUGAACUUGUCAGAACAUCAUAUCAUUUGAAUAGGAGGCUUAAAUUUUUAAAGGCCAGAAAAAUGCUAAUGAGAUUAGACAUGAUCUAUUUUUUUCUAGACACUGGCACCUUUUGCACUUCAAUUAGAUAUCCAGACACGCCCAUAACUUAGCAGUCAUAGGUAAUGUUGUCGGAAAAAGAGUAUGAGGUGGGUUGGUUGUACAAGAAGAACAGGUUAGAAUUUGCUUUCUUCUGAGCUUAAGUACUAAAGUAAAAAGCAGGUAGAUUCAUCAUCAGGAAGAAUGUAGGCAGCUAAUCUGAGAAGUAAAAGACUAUAAAAAUAAGAGAAACAAAUGAAAAUUUAGCUUUAACUGAGAGCUGAUGAACUUAGGAGACUCAACAUUGCUUUGCUAAAUAGUGAUAUUAAAAUAUUGCUAGACAAAUUUUUCUUAAGUGUAGGAUUUAAUUUGGAACUGAGUAGGAGCAAUACUACAAUAUGACAUCAUCAGUAUUUGCCCUAAUCCCUACCACAAAAAGAUGACUGUAAAGGAAGAACUCUUAAAAAACUGCUUGGCCCUGCAGUAAUGCUUCCCUUUCAAAUCGGUAACUUCCUCCACCAUGCAUUACUUGGAAGAUGCAGUAAUUUUAAUUACUGAAAGGACCAUCUCAAAUCAUCUUUAGUCACAACAAACUGUAAACAUUUAUAGAGCAAUAUAUUUGUAAAAUGUAUUUUAUAUUGGGGAAGUAUGAUACAAUACAGAAAUCAUUGAAAGCAAGAUACCAUGACCAAGCAAUUAACCAUCAAUUAUUCAAUUUUAAUUUAAUAUAUAAUAGAUCUGAGGCACUGCCUAUAAAGUGGAAGAUAUAAU
Molecule: long non-coding RNA, 1690 nt
Filed under: Homo sapiens (human)
Lineage: Eukaryota; Metazoa; Chordata; Mammalia; Primates; Hominidae
Description: HSALNT0037410
Source: RNAcentral